GGCGGCCGUAACAAUAACGGUCCUAAGGUAGCGAAAUUCCUUGUCGGAUAAGUUCCGACCUGCACGAAUGGCGUAAUGAUGGCCAGGCUGUCUCCACCCGAGACUCAGUGAAAUUGAACUCGCUGUGAAGAUGCAGUGUACCCGCGGCAAGACGGAAAGACCCCGUGAACCUUUACUAUAGCUUGACACUGAACAUUGAGCCUUGAUGUGUAGGAUAGGUGGGAGGCUUUGAAGUGUGGACGCCAGUCUGCAUGGAGCCGACCUUGAAAUACCACCCUUUAAUGUUUGAUGUUCUAACGUUGACCCGUAAUCCGGGUUGCGGACAGUGUCUGGUGGGUAGUUUGACUGGGGCGGUCUCCUCCUAAAGAGUAACGGAGGAGCACGAAGGUUGGCUAAUCCUGGUCGGACAUCAGGAGGUUAGUGCAAUGGCAUAAGCCAGCUUGACUGCGAGCGUGACGGCGCGAGCAGGUGCGAAAGCAGGUCAUAGUGAUCCGGUGGUUCUGAAUGGAAGGGCCAUCGCUCAACGGAUAAAAGGUACUCCGGGGAUAACAGGCUGAUACCGCCCAAGAGUUCAUAUCGACGGCGGUGUUUGGCACCUCGAUGUCGGCUCAUCACAUCCUGGGGCUGAAGUAGGUCCCAAGGGUAUGGCUGUUCGCCAUUUAAAGUGGUACGCGAGCUGGGUUUAGAACGUCGUGAGACAGUUCGGUCCCUAUCUGCCGUGGGCGCUGGAGAACUGAGGGGGGCUGCUCCUAGUACGAGAGGACCGGAGUGGACGCAUCACUGGUGUUCGGGUUGUCAUGCCAAUGGCACUGCCCGGUAGCUAAAUGCGGAAGAGAUAAGUGCUGAAAGCAUCUAAGCACGAAACUUGCCCCGAGAUGAGUUCUCCCUGACUCCUUGAGAGUCCUGAAGGAACGUUGAAGACGACGACGUUGAUAGGCCGGGUGUGUAAGCGCAGCGAUGCGUUGAGCUAACCGGUA
This 977-nucleotide ribosomal RNA is filed under the name Enterococcus faecalis. Its description in RNAcentral is "partial 23S ribosomal RNA". It matches the Rfam family "Bacterial large subunit ribosomal RNA", at positions 1929 to 2900 of the family's 2925-position model. The record is from RNAcentral. Lineage: Bacteria; Bacillati; Bacillota; Bacilli; Lactobacillales; Enterococcaceae.